UUAGACAAAUUUGGACUAAAAUUGACUUGCCCAGUUGCCCUAACUAUUCGACAGCCUCUAUUCUUCCUCUUCGUUCUACACCGACUCCUCGCUCUAUUCCUCCUCUUCAUCCUCUUGGUUCUUUGAAUCCAAGCAGAACUCGACACCUCGUCCUCCAUCUUGUUCGAGUCAGGCCAGCUCUUGUUCCUCCUCUUCGUUCUACGCCUCCUCUUCGCUCUAUUCCUCCUCUUCAUCAUCUUGGUUCUUCGAAUCCAAGCAGAACUCGACGCCUCGUCCUCCAUCUUUUUCGAGUCAGGCCAGCUCUUGUACGUGCUCGAAGACAGUGAACAGCAUCGGUUCCUCAAGGCCGCCGUUUCGGAGAAACUUUGAGCUUUUGAGUCAUAGGAAUUGUGUUUCAUCUACAGAGUUAUUCUUCAUUCAGCUGGGCAAAGUUUGAAGCUUCCAUGACCAUGUAACUGGAGCUUUCUAGGCAUUCUUUAUCUCUGGUACCUGUAAAGUAUUUGAUUGGGCUUGAAAGGAAAAGCGCAAGACAAGUGUUCUUGGUUCGUCUUUCUUGGAGCAUGUUAAGGAGAUAUUGGAACCUGAUACUUUUAUUGCUGCAGCGCCUUGGGUGUACUACCCAAUAAUUGAAAAGUAUUCAAUAUAUUUGACAUAAUCUUCUAUUGUAACAGGCUCUUCAGCGCUUCCAAACCGAGCAUGGAAAAGGGUUUCCGACUCAUUUCUCCCAGAUAGGGGCUCCUGACUUCUAUACCAUUCAAAGGCCGACAAGGUUGGAAAAAGCUUCAUUUUUUUUAUCACUGCUCUGAACAAGACAGCAAGCUUCAAGGAUGCUAUAAACACAGACAUGCCAAAGUACUGCAACCAUCAAGUAAAGAUGCGGCCUCAAGUAAGGCCUUGAUUAGAAUUUGAUCUAAUUCAAACUCACCGUAUUUGAUUCCUUAUUGAUUGUUAUGGGACAAGUUUCUUCAUCACGCCCUCAGCCAUCGAAUGAUGGCCAGGAACCAUCCCGUGUCCAUGCACCCAAUGCAGAAAGGCAAAGUACAAAUACCUCUCAAGGAGAGAGGAGACAAUCAGUGAGUUCUUCAGAAGCUAUUUUAUCGCAGUCUCACCCACUGGAUGAAGAUCAGGUUAAUUUGCAUGAUACAUUGUUUCGUUUGUUACAUGUAAACAAUUGAUGGAAAGCUUCAUAGCAGGGAUUUGGGAUUUUAGGAGCUGAUGAAAUGCUUAGUUUGUACCUGUAUUAAUGCAAGAUGAAUAUUGGUUGCCGGUGUUAUUUCAAAAAAGAAUUACAUGUGAAUUUCAAAGGCUUAUGAGGUUAUUGAAAGUUUCACCUCCUCAACUGUUAACUCCUUACAAACGUGGUCGUAAAUUUCACUUUGUCAGUCCAUUUAAGUAAUGUUGUACGUCUGAAACAAAUUGUAGGUACCCCCUACAGAGGGAGAAAAGAGUAGUUGACAUCACUAAUCUGCUAUAACAUUGGUUGUUUGUAACGUGUUAUAGCAGAUAAGGCUGAAGGUUAACCUUAUCUGCUAUUUGCAAUAUCAAACCCAGACAAAAGAGUAUGGGGUAAGAAUUAGCAAUAUCAAACCCAGAGAAAAAGAGUAUGGGGUUUAUCACUGCAGUGUUCGACUAGAAGAACAAGAGGACUGAUAGAUUUGGGUUUGGUUUGGAGAGUAAACGAUUGCAGGUUUGGAAAUCCUAUUUUCCUGCUGUGUUCUUCUUCUUUUAGUUUUGUUUGUGCUGAGGUUAGAGAUAUAGGCAUUUGAUUUAGUCUCUGCUGAUUGGUAUCCUCUUUUCAAAAUUUCUACUUUGCUUUUGAUUACUUUGAACAACCCUAUAUCUUCUAUUGUGGUCAUGGUUGAUUAUUGUUGGCAUUUCAGUUUUCAAUUGGGCAUGCCUUCUCAGAGUUAUUUUGGGCCUUUGGUUCCUUAGCAUUGUGUGAGUUACCCGAACCAUUGAAUAUAUAAGAAGGAUCUCCACCACUGUUUCAAUUGCAGAAACCUCCAGCCUCCAUCAAGGUCAACAUCUGCUUUUAGCCGAUAACAAGCUUAGACAUGAAAGUCAACAUCAUGAAAGGCUUGCUCCGAAAGGACCGAAACUCAAGUUUUGGGAGAAAUCUGAAAAAAGAAGGUUGUACUCAUAGCUGAAACAGAGCAGGUUUGAUCUUUAAUAGAACUAUCUUUUUUGACUUUCCGAUGCAAAUGUGUUCCAGGUGAAGGGAGGGGAGCAGAAGGUUAUGUCGUACAUUUUCAAUGAAAUUUCCUUCAAACCACCCUUACCAAUAAACAAUUUGUCUUAAGUCUUAACUUUAUGAUAUUAAUAGUCUAUUUACAAUGCAUAUUUUGCACAUUUGCAGACCCCGUAUCACGAAGUAUGUGAAAGACCCUUAAUAGUAUACUUAUAUAAUUUCACGUUGCCCUGCAUUACAUAAAGAGGGGCAAAACUCCGAGGCUCUUAUUCGGAUUAAAAGCGUAGCUCAGUACCUUUAUUUGAGAAGGAACCCAUCCAUGUUCAGAGAUGAGAGUUCUCCGCCAGUCUACUGGUGAUAACCAUUUGAUUUUGCACUUGGGAAUAAAUUUUCUGAUAGCUGAUGAUAUGCUUGGAAUACUUGCUGUCAAGCUAAAGAAAGGAUCGGCUUUGGCUUUGUGGGCAGUGAAGACUCGGAAAGUAUACACCCAAGAUGAACUUGACGAGGUCCGCAUUGAAGUAGAUGACUAUUUGCAGACUUUGCUAUAGAUGCUGACUCUACCAAAGUGAUUUUGAGUAAGGCUAGCUAGAUUUUGUAGAAUCAUUUUGAAGUAGAACGUUGUACAGUUGCAGGUGAACUAAACUGCAUAUAGUUAUUGCAAUGGUCUAUUUUGGGCUA
Rosa chinensis is the source of this 2866-nucleotide long non-coding RNA. RefSeq lists it as uncharacterized. The record is from RefSeq and is a predicted model, not a curated record. NCBI's taxonomy places the organism in Eukaryota, Viridiplantae, Streptophyta, Magnoliopsida, Rosales, Rosaceae. The transcript is spliced from 12 exons.